GAUGGCUUGUUUCUGGCAACGUGGCAGAACCCACCGGAUAGAAACAAAUCCGGACUACCCAAAAGGGUCCGGUUUCAACGGCCCGAAAAUUCUCUGGCAUUCCUUCUUCCCCACGUUCCACCCUCUCCCCAACUACUGCCAUGGUUUCUGCGACCUGUGAGGAAAAAUGUCCAAGCCAAACCUCAAUUUCCCUUCCAAAACUUCGCUUUCCAACCCGUUCAUGUCUCAGAACCAGCUCAUCGACUCGCUCACCUCCCACAUAUCCCUCUAUAGCUCACAUUCCAGCUUCCACUCCCCAAACCCUAAUUCUAACCCCAUCAGGUCCUCCAUUCUCAAAUGGUUCUCAUCUCUCACCGUAUACCAGCGCCAAGCUCAUCUAACGGCCGUAGAUUCCAACUUCGUACGACUCCUCUUCCAGAUGCUCCGCAGAGUCCACACCCAUGGCCGCGGCUCCUUCAUCAUCCUCCCCGACCUCCCCUCACAUGACCUCCCCGGCCUCUGCUUCAAGAAGUCACGAGGUCUCCUCUCCCGCGUCGCCGACUCCAACGAGUCGGAACGGCUACUCUUUGACUCGACUCGGUUCUUUGCCUCCUCGGAAGGCGAAAACAUCAACGAGUGCUCUUGUUCGAUCAAGAAUGUCGACACAGUGACGGUUAGCGAGGAGUUGGUCGAGAAUUUUGAUAGGUUCGUGAAUACUAUGGAUGAAAUAUCGAAUAGGGGCUUCUUGAGAGGUGAAGAGACCGAGUUGGGAUCGGAUUGGGUCGAAUUGGAGUGGUUGAAGGCGAAAGGGUACUAUACCAUGGAGGCUUUUGUGGCGAAUAGGUUGGAAGUGGCGCUGAGGCUGGCGUGGCUGAAUUGUAAUAAUGGGAGGAAAAGGGGAGUGAAGUUGAAGGAGAAGGCAAGUGCGGCAGGCGUUGCGGCCAAUGUGUUUUGGAGGAAGAAGGGCUGUGUGGAUUGGUGGGUUAAUUUGGAUACCGUGACUAGGAGGAAGAUUUUGACAGUGGCGUUGGGGAAAUCAGCAAAAGCUUUGACUCAUGAGAUUCUGAAGGGUGCAACUAGUGGUUUGGAGGAUGAGAUGUGGCUUUUAAGUGCAGGAGUGGAACAUCCAGAGAGAUACAAUCAUGCUGUCACAAUGCAAAAGACUAUCCCCAGUGUCACUGCAGAGGCAGAACUUGGCUCGAUCAUUACCCCUGCUACUCUUUUGGGCAAACAUACUUCCUUAGCCAAUGCAUUUAAUAGCAUACUUGUGCUUCAGGAUAUUAUUAUGAUUAUAUUCUCAUGUCAUAGUAGUGUGUAUGAUAAAGGGAAAGUGUUUUUUAGCACAUUGGGAUCUGUUUGUACCAUUUCUGAUUGUAUAUUUAGAAAACUGCGAGGAUUUCUUAUGGUGGUUUCACUUGAUUGCACAAAACUUGAACUUCUGGGGGAGGAAAUCAAGAAGUCAUCACCUAAUAAAUCCAAUGAAAAGCUUGGUGCUGUUAGCCGUAGGAAGAAGGCGAGGACCCGCAAUAUGAAAAAGGAUGUUAAUUGUGCAAUUGCACAUGAACAGAAGGUAGAUUUGAUGGAGCCCAAAAAGAUACCUUAUAUUCCUCAGGAGAAAGAGAGUUGCAGAGAGAUGUCAACUGUUCUGGUGGAACAUGCCCGAGGAAUGGUGGUUGAAAAAGCUCAAACUUCUUCGAGGAAGAGUAAGAAAGAAAAAAACAAAAAUAAAAAACCUGGGUUUAACAAUCUUGUGCAAGUGAGAAAUUUGGAGAGAUCAGUCCAGGAAGAUUCCUCUCACUCUGUUGUUUCUCAGGGUAAGGCAGCAAAGUCUGGUCGAGCAUCAGAUAAUUCAACCGCCCAGAAUGAAAUAGUUGAUAAUCCAAUUGGCAAUAAUACCCUUGCAUCUGAUUCAAGUCUCCGUUGUGGUUUUGCUAAUGGGCCUACUAAGGAGGAUGAUGCCAUGGAAAGUAUUCAAGGAGCAUCUGAUAUUUCAACCAGUCAGAAUGCAACAGCUGAUAAUACAACUGGUACUAAUAUCCUUCCAUCAAAUUCAAGUCUUCCUAGUAGUUCUGCUAAUGGGCAUAAUGGGGCGGAUAAUCCCAUGCAAAGCAUUCGAGCAGGUUAUAUUAAUGGUUCUAGUGAUAGUUUAUGUUGUAUUGAUCCAGAGUGUUAUAACUUACCUAACAAUAGGCUUGCAAAUCAAAGUAUAUCUUCCAGAAUUGAAACCCUAAUUUGUAAUACAGAGCCUCCUACUAUGCCUGCAUUGGAGGUUGAUACUGUUCUCAGCAAUGGAGAUAUCGAUUCUCAGAAUUGUGCAAAUAGACGUGAAACUAAUGUGAAAAUAACUUUUCCUGACAAACCAAUCCGACCUUUUGAUGUGAAAGAGGAGUCUUUUCGGGUUAGAGAUUCAGGGAGUGUAAAUACAUAUGAUACUGGACUGUCAAAUUCUUCAGAGCGCCCUUCAAAUGAGUGGCCCAUUGUAGCUCCCUUUUAUUUUCCCUCUUUCAACUCACAUCUCCCAGCUGCCACUGAUCGAUUGCAUCUGGAUGUUGGUCGGAACUGGCAUAAUCACUUCCAACAAUCAUUCAUACCCACAAUGCAUCAUGCGAGAAACUCUCCAAUUGAAGGUGGGUGUAACCCAGUUCUGUCUCGACCAUUACCAAUGAGUUUAGAUUGGCCGCCAGUGGUUCGAAGUGCUUGUGGACUGGCUCCAUCAGUAACUUGUAAUUAUGAGUCUGGAUUUAUCCCAAGGCUGCAGUCUACAUAUCCACAAGGUUUCACCCCUCACAACCUGCGGCUUAAUGCAAUGUCCAUAGAUGACGAAAGGAAGUAUUCUGGGGAUGUCACAGACUUGGUAACGAAUACACAGGAACUAGCAGACGAAUGUGAUAGCCACUGCAUAUCAGAGGAGGAUGUUGAGGUGCAUCCUGUUUCUGGGAUGGAUUAUAAUCAAUACUUUGGCGGAGGUGUGAUGUACUGGAAUCCUUCUGAUCUUCCAGGGACAGGUUUCUCUCGACCUCCUUCACUAAGUUCUGAUGAUAGCUCAUGGGCUUGGCGUGAGGCUGAUAUGAUUAGGGCUGUUGAUGAUAUGGUUGCAUAUUCUUCUUCGUAUAGUACGAACGGCUUGACUUCACCAACUGCAGCUUCAUUUGGUUCGCCUUUUGAUCCUUUGGGUCCUGGUGCUCUUGGCUAUGUAAUGCCGGGAAGUGAAGUACCUGGCAAGAUGUUGCAUCCCUCUUCAGCAUUGGCAGACACGACAGCAGAGGAGGAACCUACUGGUUCUUUGUCCAAUUUACCCAGUGAUGUUGAAGGGAAGACAGGAGACUCACUUCCUUACCCCAUUCUGCGGCCAAUCAUCAUUCCCCAUAUGUCUAGAGAAAGAUCAAGGUCCGAGUUUAAGCGUAAUCCUGAUCACAAAAGCCCAUGUGUUCCUCCUGCUAGGCGGGAGCAACCUCGGAUAAAGCGACCACCAUCACCUGUAGUGCUUUGUGUUCCAAGGGCUCCACGUCCACCACCACCCUCUCCUGUGAGUGAAUCCAGAAAACAAAGGGGUUUCCCAACUGUUAGAUCUGGUAGUUCGAGCCCAAGGCAUUGGGGUGUUAGAGGCUGGUACCAUGAUGGAAAUAACCUUGAUGAUGCUUGUUUGCGCAUGGAUGGCGCUGAAGUUGUUUGGCCUACGUGGAGAAAUAACAAUCUUGCAGCUCAUCCAAUGAUUCAGCCUCUACCUGCAACUUUGCUGCAAGAUCGGCUGAUUGCAAUGUCACAGCUGGCUCGUGAUCAGGAACAUCCAGAUAUUGCAUUUCCCUUGCAACCACCAGAGUUACAGAGCUGUCCUACACAGAAGGCCUCUCUUUCUUUGAUGCACAGCCUCCUUCAUGAUGAGAUUGACUCAUUCUGGAAGCAGGUUGCCGCUGCAAAUAUGGCCAGGAAGCCCUACAUCAAUUGGGCCAUCAAGCGGGUUACACGAUCUCUCCAAGUUCUAUGGCCAAGGUCCCGGACAAAUGUAUUUGGUUCAAAUGCAACUGGUUUGUCCCUGCCAACGAGUGAUGUGGACCUCGUGGUUUGUCUCCCUCCAGUGAGGAACCUGGAACCUAUUAAAGAAGCCGGGAUAUUGGAGGGACGUAAUGGCAUUAAAGAAACUUGCCUUCAGCAUGCAGCCAGGUAUCUUGCAAACCAGGAGUGGGUAAAAAAUGACUCUCUUAAGGCUGUGGAAAAUACAGCUAUACCUAUCAUUAUGCUUGCGGUGGAAGUUCCUCAUGAUCUUGUUACCUCUUCUACCUCUAAUGCACAAUCACCUAAGGAGACGACUCACAUAACUGGUGAACAAGGCAGUGAUGCUCAUUCUGAUGCGGUUGUUUUUGAAGAUUCUGCUCCUUCUAGUACUAGAUGCAUACAGACAGAUCAUGUUACUAAUAAUGAUUCAAAAUCAGUUCGUCUUGACAUCAGUUUUAAGUCACCAUCACAUACAGGACUCCAAACUACAGAACUGGUUAAAGAGCUGACUGAUCAGUUUCCAGCUGCUACACCCCUUGCUUUGGUACUGAAACAGUUCUUGGCAGAUCGUAGCCUGGACCAGUCAUAUUCUGGUGGUUUAAGUUCCUACUGUUUGGUGUUACUGAUUAUACGUUUCCUUCAGCAUGAGCAUCAUCUUGGCCGGCCUAUUAACCAUAAAUUUGGAAGUCUUCUGAUGGAUUUUCUAUAUUUCUUUGGCAAUGUGUUUGAUCCUCGCCAAAUGCGUAUUUCGGUUCAGGGGAGUGGAGUUUACAUGAAAAGGGAAAGAGGUUGCAGCAUUGAUCCAAUACACAUUGAUGAUCCUCUAUUUCCAACAAAUAAUGUGGGGAGAAAUUGCUUUAGGAUACAUCAGUGUAUUAAGGCAUUUUCAGAAGCCUAUUCUGUCUUGGAGAAUGAGCUUACAUGCAUUCCUGAUUAUGGUGAUGCAUGUUCGAUGCCGCCAUGUAGAUUGCUUCCAAAAAUCAUCCCUAGUAUUGAUCUUGUAUAGGGAUUCUCACUAGCUGGAGAGUCAUGAUUGGAAGUUGAAACGUGGAGAUAGCUGGCAGGACUGCUUCCAUGUUUAGCAAGGUUGAGCUUAUUGCUUGGAGCUGCCAUCAUAUUCCUCAAAAGUUUUAGCUACAGAAAACUCAAGGGGUUGGCUCAAGUGGUAAGAGCCUUGGUCUUGGUGGUGUGCUCCCUCCACCUCAAAUGUUCACAAGCUCUUGGGUGCAAACAAUUUCUAGGGGUAUCGGACUGGGAGAAUUUUCUCUUAUAUUACCUGAGGACUCUGGCAUCAAAGAACAGUUGUUACUUGCACUCCACCUUCCAAGUUCAUAGUGCUGUUCUGGACUAAUCAUCACCGCUACCACCACGGCUCCUACAGAUGAAGUUAAGGUGCUGUUGUUAAACAGGACAGUGUUCAGUAUGUCGUGGACCAGAGAGAGUCGACUGUUUAUAUGCAUGAAGUCUGAAGAACAAGUUGGAUGGAACAUAGCAUUUGACAAUUUUGAGAUCUUGAUUUACCUAUCAUUGGCUUUCUAAAUCAAUCCAGAGCAUGGAAUGUUGUUAAUGAUGAUGAAUCAGCAGAUUCAAAUCAAUACAGACCGGAAUGCAGCAGAUGCAAAUGAAUGCAGCAUGGAAUGUGGUCAUCACUGCUUAGAAUUCUUGGAACUUCUACCAGUUUUUUGGAAGCCAAUGUGAUUGUCAACUUAUUGAUUUUAGAUCUUUUCUGCAUAAUAUGAGAAAUGGAGAGUAGGUUUAUUUAUUUUCAAGUACCAAAUCCCAUUGUAUGAAAGUGGGAAAUCUAUGGGGUGUUGGCACACAUACAUGGGCUUCGUAGAAUCGAGAUAUUUUUUUAUUUGAUUGGCAAUUGGUGUCCGAGAUCAGAGUCUUAACUAAUCUCAGGGGUGUAUAGAUUCUCGACAAGAAGUUUCCUGCAAGUACAAUUUGGAUAAUUUAAGAGUUAGUUUCUCAAGUCCAAUAGUCUUCAUAAAUUGUUUGCCCUCAAGAGGAUUCAAAUCUUUUACAUGGAGGGUGCAUUCCAUCAAGAUCAAGGUUUUGACCACUCGAGCCAACCCCAAGGGUUAUAGAAUCGAGAUUAUUACUUGGAUUCUGUUUUUUUCACUUUGUUAUUGGAGAAAAUUAAUGUACUGUAAUUUUUAUUUUUUAUAAAUGGUACCAAUUGUUUAAAAAGCUUAUAACUAAUAAUUAUAGUUAUGGUAAUGUUUCAAAUUA
This is an RNA transcript of Juglans microcarpa x Juglans regia, 6204 nucleotides long. RefSeq lists it as uncharacterized. The record is from RefSeq and is a predicted model, not a curated record. Lineage: Eukaryota; Viridiplantae; Streptophyta; Magnoliopsida; Fagales; Juglandaceae. The transcript is spliced from 19 exons.